This 1441-nucleotide long non-coding RNA is filed under the name Urocitellus parryii (Arctic ground squirrel). RNAcentral describes it as "lncRNA (ENSUPAG00010023303.1)". The record is from RNAcentral. Lineage: Eukaryota; Metazoa; Chordata; Mammalia; Rodentia; Sciuridae.
UUGAUAUCUGUAUUAACCUGCAGAACAUUUAAACAUUAAGAUGCUCUCUAAUCUAGUCCAUACCGGAAUAGAUUCCUAAGACUUUCUAGUUCCCCCUCCAUUUCUGAAUUAUAUUCCAUUACUAUAUCAUUAAAAACCCUUCCUUAAAUAUUCCACGCAAGAUUAUAGAAAGCUUUUAUUUUUGUUUUGUUUUGUUGUUUUUUGUGGUGCUAGGGAUUGAACCAAGGCCUUUGUGCAUUCAGUGCUCCACCACUGAGUCAGAUCCCCAGCCCUAAGAAGUACGUUAGUAUCUACUUCAUUCACAUACUGUACCCCAAAACAGUCACCUAAUCAAUAUGGGCACAUAGAUGUGGCUCAGAAUAAGAGUCAUACCUAUUCUCAGUACAAAAAAAGUAAGCAAAAGUACUGAAUGGGGGAAACUGUCUUCUAAGGAAUACAGAAAAGAACGUCCUCCACUCAUUUAAGGCACCACAUAUUAAUCGGAUCUCUCAAGCUUCUUAGGGUGUUCAGUGUUUUAAUCUGCCAGCUCUCUGCAACUGAACUAAAGCCUUUCCAUUCCGAGAUGUAGGUACCUUCUACAUGCACUCCAUGCUCUCUUUUCUUCAACCCUCACCUCCCCCUCUCCUUCCAAAAUUGUGUCAGAGAUGUAAUUCCCAAUCUCCAUCAAACUCUUUCACAGGGCCACUCCCGAAAGCACUCUCCUGGAAUGUUUUAGGCCUGAUUCUAUUCUUGUAAUAGCCCAAACCUUCCAAGAGCCCAUCCUUUUUGCCCCUUCUUAAGUUUACUCCUAAACACACACACACACACACACACACACACACACACACACACACACACACUUCCUUCCUUCCUGUAGGGGCGUGGCAUCCACAUAACCUCCCCUCCCCCACCAGGAAUUUAACUCCUCCCACCCUUCUCUUCAGAAUCCCGUGUUCAGUGUUCACGGGGCAAGGGGGUGACACUGCAACCCUCUCUAUAGUCCGAACCCUAUUGAUCCGCCGCAAGGACGACCCUCUCCCUAGCGCGUAGAGUCGUUACCUGGAUCCCGCCCACCCUGUGUCGGCCGGAAACCACGGCCCGCCCGGGGUCGAAGUCCGGGCCCUGGGCCUGGUCCCCACCGCGGGCCCAGGCCCCACCCCCUCGACCCCCGGCGGCCCGGCCCUCCCCUUGCGCUCCUUUCCCCCUCCCACCAUUCACCACAGCCACUUCCGCCCGUCCUCCGGAAGUGGGCCCAAGGCAACCGCUGCCUUCCCACGUCCCGCCUAUUCUAUCCCACCCCACCCCCGCCCAUCACCACCGCCACUACGGGAGCGCGGGACGUGGGUCUGCAGUGCUGGAGGUUGUUCUACUGUCACUGUUCACAGGAUUGAAGUCGAGGUUUGGGCAGAGCCAGAUCUGGCUGGGAUGUUUGGGCAUCUCAUGCCCAGAUCCUGGAAAUUGA